Molecule: ribosomal RNA, 480 nt
Filed under: Myriophora sp. H63
Lineage: Eukaryota; Metazoa; Arthropoda; Insecta; Diptera; Phoridae
Description: partial 16S ribosomal RNA
Source: RNAcentral
AUGUCUUUUAGAAAUUAAUUUAAAGUCUAACCUGCCCACUGAAUUUUUUUUAAAUGGCCGCAGUAUCCUAACUGUGCAAAGGUAGCAUAAUCAUUAGUCUUUUAAUUGAAGGCUGGAAUGAAUGGUUGGAUGAAAUAUUAACUGUUUCAUAAAAAUUUAUAAUAGAAUUUUAUUUUUUAGUCAAAAAGCUAAAAUUUAAUUAAAAGACGAGAAGACCCUAUAAAUCUUUAUACUUAUAAAAUUACAAUUAUAUAGAUAAUUUAAAUUUUAAUUUUUUAUAGUAUUUUAUUGGGGUGAUAUUAAAAUUUAAUAAACUUUUAAUUUAUAAUUUACAUAAAUUAAUGAAUUUUUGAUCCAUUUAUUAUGAUUAAAAAAUUAAGUUACUUUAGGGAUAACAGCGUAAUUUUUUUAGAGAGUUCAUAUUGAUAAAAAAGAUUGCGACCUCGAUGUUGGAUUAAGAUACAGUUUUAGGUGCAGCAG